This 22-nucleotide non-coding RNA is filed under the name Rattus norvegicus (Norway rat). Lineage: Eukaryota; Metazoa; Chordata; Mammalia; Rodentia; Muridae. The record is from RNAcentral.
UGAAAAACUGGCCUUCUCAAGC